Molecule: non-coding RNA, 61 nt
Organism: Rhodopseudomonas palustris
Lineage: Bacteria; Pseudomonadati; Pseudomonadota; Alphaproteobacteria; Hyphomicrobiales; Nitrobacteraceae
Source: Rfam
AGCUGGUUAGAGCAUCUCGUUUACACCGAGAGGGUCGGCGGUUCGAAUCCGUCGCCGCCUA